GCCAGACUCCUACGGGAGGCAGCAGUGAGGAAUAUUGGUCAAUGGGCGCGAGCCUGAACCAGCCAAGUCGCGUGAGGGAGGACGGUCCUAUGGAUUGUAAACCUCUUUUGUCGGGGAGCAAAAGACGCCACGUGUGGCGUUCCGAGAGUACCCGAAGAAAAAGCAUCGGCUAACUCCGUGCCAGCAGCCGCGGUAAUACGGAGGAUGCGAGCGUUAUCCGGAUUUAUUGGGUUUAAAGGGUGCGUAGGCGGUUUGUCAAGUCAGCGGUAAAAAUUCCGGGCUCAACCCGGUCCCACCGUUGAAACUGGCGAACUCGAGAGGGAGAGAAGUAGGCGGAAUGCGCAGUGUAGCGGUGAAAUGCAUAGAUAUUGCGCAGAACUCCGAUUGCGAAGGCAGCCUACCGGCUCCUGUCUGACGCUGAGGCACGAAAGCGUGGGUAUCGAACAGGAUUAGAUACCCUUGUA
This 464-nucleotide ribosomal RNA is filed under the name uncultured bacterium. RNAcentral describes it as "bacterial SSU rRNA". It matches the Rfam family "Bacterial small subunit ribosomal RNA", at positions 330 to 792 of the family's 1533-position model. The record is from RNAcentral.